RNAcentral lists this ribosomal RNA (253 nucleotides) under uncultured bacterium. RNAcentral describes it as "partial 16S ribosomal RNA". It matches the Rfam family "Bacterial small subunit ribosomal RNA", at positions 524 to 776 of the family's 1533-position model. The record is from RNAcentral.
UACGGAGGGUGCAAGCGUUAUCCGGAUUUACUGGGGUUAAAGGGUGCGCAGGCGGAUAUGUAAGUCAGUGGUGAAAUCUCUAGGCUUAACCUGGAAAUUGCCGUUGAUACUAUAUAUCUUGAAUGCUGUGGAGGUAAGCGGAAUAUGUCAUGUAGCGGUGAAAUGCGUAGAUAUCGGAAGGAACAUCAGUGGCGAAAGCGGCUUCCUGGACCAGUACCGACGUUCAGGCACGAAAGCGUGGGGAGCAAACAGG